RNAcentral lists this ribosomal RNA (505 nucleotides) under uncultured bacterium. RNAcentral describes it as "partial 16S ribosomal RNA". It matches the Rfam family "Bacterial small subunit ribosomal RNA", at positions 28 to 507 of the family's 1533-position model. The record is from RNAcentral.
GACGAACGCUGGCGGCGUGCCUAAUACAUGCAAGUAGAACGCACAGUUUAUACCGUAGCUUGCUACACCAUAGACUGUGAGUUGCGAACGGGUGAGUAACGCGUAGGUAACCUGCCUGGUAGCGGGGGAUAACUAUUGGAAACGAUAGCUAAUACCGCAUAAUAUUAAUUAUUGCAUGAUAAUUAAUUGAAAGGAGCAAUUGCACCACUACCAGAUGGACCUGCGUUGUAUUAGCUAGUAGGUGAGGUAACGGCUCACCUAGGCGACGAUACAUAGCCGACCUGAGAGGGUGAUCGGCCACACUGGGACUGAGACACGGCCCAGACUCCUACGGGAGGCAGCAGUAGGGAAUCUUCGGCAAUGGACGAAAGUCUGACCGAGCAACGCCGCGUGAGUGAAGAAGGUUUUCGGAUCGUAAAGCUCUGUUGUAAGAGAAGAACGGGUGUGAGAGUGGAAAGUUCACACUGUGACGGUAUCUUACCAGAAAGGGACGGCUAACUACGUG